This 460-nucleotide ribosomal RNA is filed under the name uncultured bacterium. RNAcentral describes it as "partial 16S ribosomal RNA". It matches the Rfam family "Bacterial small subunit ribosomal RNA", at positions 338 to 795 of the family's 1533-position model. The record is from RNAcentral.
CCUACGGGGGGCAGCAGUGAGGAAUAUUGGUCAAUGGACGAGAGUCUGAACCAGCCAAGUAGCGUGAAGGAUGACUGCCCUAUGGGUUGUAAACUUCUUUUAUAUGGGAAUAAAAUGUUCCACGUGUGGGAUUUUGUAUGUACCAUAUGAAUAAGGAUCGGCUAACUCCGUGCCAGCAGCCGCGGUAAUACGGAGGAUCCGAGCGUUAUCCGGAUUUAUUGGGGUUAAAGGGAGCGUAGGUGGAUUGUUAAGUCAGUUGUGAAAGUUUGCGGCUCAACCGUAAAAUUGCAGUUGAAACUGGCAGUCUUGAGUACAGUAGAGGUGGGCAGAAUUCGUGGUGUAGCGGUGAAAUGCUUAGAUAUCACGAAGAACGCCGAUUGCGAAGGCAGUUCACUGGACUGCAACUGACACUGAGGCUCGAAAGUGUGGGUAUCAAACAGGAUUAGAUACCCCUGUAGUC